GAUGAAGAACGCAGCGAAAUGCGAUAAGUAAUGUGAAUUGCAGAAUUCAGUGAAUCAUCGAAUCUUUGAACGCACCUUGCACCCUUUGGCAUUCCGAAGGGUAUGCUCGUUUGAGUGUCAUUGUACUCUCACACUCUCCGAUCCUAUGGAUUCGGGGAGCGGUGGACUUGGGUGUUGCUGCCUUUCCCUGUGGCUCACCUCAAAUGCGUCAGUGCACCUCUUGGUUGGACAUAGUACGGCGUGAUAAGUGUCUUCGCCGGCAGCUCGCAAGAGGGUGGCCGAUCGGGAGCUCUGCGCUUUCAAACCGUCUUCGGACAAUUUCUGACAUCUUGACCUCAAAUCGAGUAGGACUACCCGCUGAACUUAAGCAUAUCAAUAAGCGGAGGA
Molecule: unclassified non-coding RNA, 387 nt
Filed under: soil metagenome
Description: partial contains 5.8S ribosomal RNA, internal transcribed spacer 2, and large subunit ribosomal RNA
Rfam family: 5.8S ribosomal RNA (bases 1-120)
Source: RNAcentral